GACGAACGCUGGCGGCGUGCCUAAUACAUGCAAGUAGAACGCUGAAGAGAGGAGCUUGCUCUUCUUGGAUGAGUGGCUAACGGGUGAGUAACGCGUAGGUAACCUGCCUUGUAGCGGGGGAUAACUAUGGGAAACGAUAGCUAAUACCGCAUAACAAUGGAUGACACAUGACACAUAUUUGAAAGGGGCAAUUGCUCCACUACAAGACGGACCUGCGUUGUAUUAGCUAGUAGGGGAGGGAACGGCUCAGCUAGGCGACGAUACAUAGCCUGCGUGGGGAGGUUGUUGACCCCCAUUGGACCUGGACCCCGGCCAAGCCCCUACGGGGGGCCGCAGUAGGGGAUCUUUGGCCAUUGGGGCAACCCUGAACGCACCACGACGCGUGAGUGGAGGAGGGUUUCGGAUCGUAAAACUCUGUUGGUAGUGAAGAACGAGUAUGAGGGUAGAAAGCUCACGCUGUGACGGUAGCUUACCAGAAAGGGACGGCUAACUACGUG
Molecule: ribosomal RNA, 497 nt
Filed under: uncultured bacterium
Lineage: Bacteria
Description: partial 16S ribosomal RNA
Rfam family: Bacterial small subunit ribosomal RNA
Source: RNAcentral